GAACAAGCUCUGGCUGAUAUAGGCAGAAAAGGAAUCAUUAGGGGAUCCUGAGUGGCUCACUACACGGGUCACAGAGUUGCAGGACAUUUGGGAAACCAGGCUCAUGAAAGAAGCAAAACCAGAACCAUAUCAGAGGAACAUCUGAUCAAGCACCACUCCCCACUGACACUGGACCUUGGAGAAAGUCACCCUAGUACCCUGGAAAUCAAAUGCUGACACAGUGGCAGCCACCACUAGAACGAGGUCUCCACUUCCCCUCUCAAGGGAAUUCCCUUCUCCUCACCUCUGGAGCAAUCUGGAGGCUAAACAGAAAGGAUACCUACACAUUAGAGAGAGUCUUGGAAAUCUCAUAAUCCCAGUUCAAAAGGCACCACCCAGCAACAGCUUAAUGAGCAUCGCCCCUGCCCCAAGACGGGAUCCAGAGGACUCUGUGAAGGUGGCAGGUUCAAGCAUGUAAGGACUCUGAAAGUCCCCGAGACCUCUCCAACAGCCCCAGAGAAGAUCUAGAAAUUCCAACUCGUUAUGAGCUGACAGAAAGGCUGAUGUGCUGCGGAAGGGGUUGGUACCGGGACCUUGGAUCAGAGGCUUUGCAGGGUUGGGUCCAUGAGGGGUCCAAAGAGAAACAGUUAUGUCUCAACGAGGAUGCAGUGCAUGAGUGGGGCUUGGUAAAAACUCCAUGUAGUGAAUAAAGGGCUUCACUAAUAAAUUCUCUUAUUAAUCCCAAACUGUAGGCUACAUCCAAGAUUCUGUGAUCAUGUUCGUGUGUUUGGCUCUUCCCCUGAAAAAUUAGCUCUUGUUUGGCUUUGCUUCCAAUAGUAAGUGUUCC
This 826-nucleotide long non-coding RNA is filed under the name Homo sapiens (human). RNAcentral describes it as "HSALNT0091820". The record is from RNAcentral. Lineage: Eukaryota; Metazoa; Chordata; Mammalia; Primates; Hominidae.